GUUUUUCUAAACUGCCAGUAUCAGAUUUUAUUUUGAUUUCAAGUCUUUAAAGACAAUUGUUGUAUAAAACCAAACGAAUAAUUACAGUGACUUUCAAACUGUUCAAAUAUAUUUACUCAUAGCUAUGAUAGCUUUUUGUGAAAUCGGCAUAAUUGUCAAAUAUUCAUAUGUGACAAGCGUUCAAGUUUCCGCUGAAUAGCGGUAAACCAAGUAUAUUUUAAAGAAAUAAAAAUAAAUAAAUUUUGGAAGCUCAAUGAAUGCAUUUUAUAAUUGCAUGUGCGAUACAUACGUUAAAUAACAUUAACAACGUAACACGUAAUGCGAGUACGAAGCAUAAAGUCAAGCCGUUAAAAUCUAAAUAAAAUGAUACAAAGAAACAGUGAAUGAAAUACUUUGGUUGAAGAAUAUCAAAAGAAAUCAAAAGAAAUUAUUGUGUAAAUCAUAAAUUUGGCUAAAAGCUGGCAUAAACUGGAGACUUUUAUACCAAAAUCUUUAAAUUAGAGAAUUAGUAAGUGAGUAUGUACAUUAAAUGUUUGUUUUACGCGUGUUUCUUUGUUUGUUGUUAGUUGCCUUGUUUUGUUGUUGUGGCUGUUGGUUGUAUGUUGUGCGUGUAGUUGCGUGUUGCAGCACUUAUGCCAAAUGUAUGUAUGUAUGUAUGCAUAGUAAAUGUAAAUAUUACUUUAUUUAGUUAAAUCUUACUCUUUAUUUACUGCACGGUUCAAUUAAAAUGCUUAAAUACUUAUUAACUAAAUACUUACAUCAAGAUUUAAUUUUACUACUAAAUGUCUUUAAACAGUACAAUAAUAUUUAUUUAAUAUUCUUAUUUUGCCUUUUUUGUCACUUUUUUUUCAUUAUUAAAUAUGUAUGUAUUUCCAUACAUCUCUGUCUUUUCGAUAUAGUUCACACUUUCAUCUGCUAUUCAUUCAAUAUAUUAAGUUAACUGAAUUGAAUUAGAAUUUAAUUAAAU
Long non-coding RNA from Zeugodacus cucurbitae (melon fly), 967 nucleotides. RefSeq lists it as uncharacterized. The record is from RefSeq and is a predicted model, not a curated record. Lineage: Eukaryota; Metazoa; Arthropoda; Insecta; Diptera; Tephritidae. The transcript has 2 exons.